This 1350-nucleotide long non-coding RNA is filed under the name Homo sapiens (human). RNAcentral's name for it is "HSALNT0072019". The record is from RNAcentral. Lineage: Eukaryota; Metazoa; Chordata; Mammalia; Primates; Hominidae.
AUACCUAGUAUGUAGCUGUCGUCUCCUGGCAUCCUAGCAGCAGCUGUCCUGUCUCAUUCCUCUGCCCUUCUCCCUGCUUCCACAUAACUACUCUGUCCUGAAAAUCCUUCCACCUCUUCUUCUAUUAUCUCUUCUCUCUAAAGCCCGUAGUCUUAUUAUGAGCUUUCUUUAACUGUUUUAAUUACUCCUUCUCACCUUUUACAAUCACUCCAAUAAAGUUUUCAUCCUGUCAUUUACAAGAUCAUCCUGCCCCUCUUCUUUUUGUUCUUUCUCUUGCAUUCUUCCACCUGCAUACUCCUUAGGGUCAUUCCUCAAUCCUAAAUAAAUGUAAUCAUGUCCAAUUCUUUUUUUUUUUUUUUUUGAGACAGAGUCUCGCUCUGUUGCCCAGGCUGGAGUGCAGUGACACAAUCUCAGCUUACUGCAACCUCCUCCACCUCCCAGGUUCAAACAAUUCUCCUGCCUCAGCAUCCCGAGUAGCUGGGACCACAGGCAUGCACCACCAUGCCCAGCUAACUUUUGUAGUUUUAGUAGAGACAGGAUUUCACCAUGUUGACCAGGCUGAUCUUGAACUCCCGACCUCAGGUGAUCCACCUGCCUAGGCCCCCCCAAAGCGCUGGUAUUAUAGGCGUGAGCCACCGAGCCUGGCCUAAUCAUGUCCAAUUUAAUCUGAGUUCCCUUUUCCUUUCCUACCACUUGUUUUCCAGGACUCAAGCAAGCAAAUGUACCAGGUCUUUUCAUAUCCCCAUGUAUCUGCUCGAGUUGUUCUCUCUGGAAGGCUCCUCCCUCUUUAUCCACCUAUUGAAAUCCUAUUCAUUUUUCAAGGUCCUGAUCAUACGUAAUCUCUUUUAUGAAGUCUCCCUUAUUUUCCACUCCUGCCAUAAUUAACGACUCCCAUUAACCCCAAGACAACUGCACAACUAACGCAAACAUAAAAAGUUGGUUGUAUCUAUGAAUGCAGAGAUAGCAGAGCUGGGAGAGAUGACCAUGAACCAGGUUGUCCAGCUCUGUUUACAAGGAGGGAAAAUAUGACAAAGAGAGGAGAGGAGCAUACCUCAGUGAGUAGAGCUCAGCAGACUUCUGGACUCCAGCUCCACCACUUACCACUUACCAAGUGUUACAGAACCUCCCUGAACUUCAAUCUCUUCAUCUGUAAAAUGCUGAAAGUAAUCUUACCCACCUCAAAGGGCUGCCUGGAGGAUUAAACCUGAUACUCUAGGUAAAGAGCUUAGCAUGGAGCCUGGCACAUCAUAUAUGCCCAAUAGAUAUUUGGGAUGUUUAUUACUUGGGAAUAAAGAAGGUACAAAUGAAUGAUUUCCUUUGUGUUAUUUAGGUCAGUUUGCCACAGUACAA